This 245-nucleotide ribosomal RNA is filed under the name uncultured bacterium. RNAcentral's name for it is "partial 16S ribosomal RNA". It matches the Rfam family "Bacterial small subunit ribosomal RNA", at positions 524 to 768 of the family's 1533-position model. The record is from RNAcentral.
UACGUAUGGGGCUAGCGUUGUUCGGAAUUAUUGGGCGUAAAGGGUGCCUAGGCGGGGAAUUAAGUUAGGUGUGAAAGCCAUGAGCUCAACUCGUGAACUGCAUCUAAAACUGAUUUUCUUGAGUUAGGGAGAGGAGAGCGGAAUUCCCGGUGUAGCGGUGAAAUGCGUAGAUAUCGGGAAGAACACCAGUAGCGAAGGCGGCUCUCUGGCCUAUAACUGACGCUGAAGCACGAAAGCGUGGGGAG